UACGUAGGCGGCAAGCGUUAUCCGGAAUUAUUGGGCGUAAAGAGCGCGCAGGUGGUUGAUUAAGUCUGAUGUGAAAGCCCACGGCUCAACCGUGGAAGGUCAUUGGAAACUGGGUCACUUGAAUAUAGAAGAGGAAAGUGGAAUUCCAUGUGUAGCGGUGAAAUGCGUAGAUAUAUGGAGGAACACCAGUGGCGAAGGCGACUUUCUGGCCUAUUAUUGACGCUGAGGCUCGAAAGCAUGGGUAGCAAACAGGAUUAGA
Molecule: ribosomal RNA, 259 nt
Filed under: uncultured prokaryote
Description: partial 16S ribosomal RNA
Rfam family: Bacterial small subunit ribosomal RNA
Source: RNAcentral